GCCAGACUCCUACGGGAGGCAGCAGUGGGGAAUAUUGCACAAUGGGGGAAACCCUGAUGCAGCAACGCCGCGUGAGUGAAGAAGUAUUUCGGUAUGUAAAGCUCUAUCAGCAGGGAAGAAGAUGACGGUACCUGACUAAGAAGCCCCGGCUAACUACGUGCCAGCAGCCGCGGUAAUACGUAGGGGGCAAGCGUUAUCCGGAAUUACUGGGUGUAAAGGGAGCGCAGACGGCAGUGCAAGUCUGGAGUGAAAGUCCGUGGCUUAACCACGGGACUGCUCUGGAAACUGUGCAGCUAGAGUGCAGGAGAGGCAGGCGGAAUUCCUAGUGUAGCGGUGAAAUGCGUAGAUAUUAGGAGGAACACCGGUGGCGAAGGCGGCCUGCUGGACUGUAACUGACGUUGUGGCUCGAAAGCGUGGGGAGCAAACAGGAUUAGAUACCCGCGUAU
Molecule: ribosomal RNA, 446 nt
Filed under: uncultured bacterium
Lineage: Bacteria
Description: bacterial SSU rRNA
Rfam family: Bacterial small subunit ribosomal RNA
Source: RNAcentral